This 258-nucleotide unclassified non-coding RNA is filed under the name fungal sp. RNAcentral describes it as "partial contains small subunit ribosomal RNA, internal transcribed spacer 1, and 5.8S ribosomal RNA". The stretch from base 1 to 46 matches the Rfam family "Eukaryotic small subunit ribosomal RNA", at positions 1786 to 1831 of the family's 1831-position model. RNAcentral also lists the same sequence under 2 other names. The record is from RNAcentral. Lineage: Eukaryota; Fungi.
AAGUCGUAACAAGGUCUCCGUUGGUGAACCAGCGGAGGGAUCAUUACCGAGUUUACAACUCCCAAACCCAAUGUGAACGUUACCAAACUGUUGCCUCGGCGGGGUCACGCCCCGGGUGCGUCGCAGCCCCGGAACCAGGCGCCCGCCGGAGGAACCAACCAAACUCUUUCUGUAGUCCCCUCGCGGACGUAUUUCUUACAGCUCUGAGCAAAAAUUCAAAAUGAAUCAAAACUUUCAACAACGGAUCUCUUGGUUCUG